Molecule: ribosomal RNA, 253 nt
Filed under: uncultured bacterium
Lineage: Bacteria
Description: partial 16S ribosomal RNA
Rfam family: Bacterial small subunit ribosomal RNA
Source: RNAcentral
UACGUAGGGUGCAAGCGUUGUCCGGAAUUAUUGGGCGUAAAGAGCUCGUAGGCGGUCUGUCACGUCGGCUGUGAAAACCCGGAGCUCAACUCCGGGCCUGCAGUCGAUACGGGCGGACUAGAGUUCGGCAGGGGAGACUGGAAUUCCUGGUGUAGCGGUGAAAUGCGCAGAUAUCAGGAGGAACACCGGUGGCGAAGGCGGGUCUCUGGGCCGAUACUGACGCUGAGGAGCGAAAGCGUGGGGAGCGAACAGG